Molecule: ribosomal RNA, 497 nt
Filed under: uncultured bacterium
Lineage: Bacteria
Description: partial 16S ribosomal RNA
Rfam family: Bacterial small subunit ribosomal RNA
Source: RNAcentral
GAUGAACGCUGGCGGCGUGCCUAAUACAUGCAAGUCGAGCGAACAGACGAGGAGCUUGCUCCUUCGACGUUAGCGGCGGACGGGUGAGUAACACGUAGGUAACCUACCUAUAAGACUGGGAUAACUUCGGGAAACCGGAGCUAAUACCGGAUAAUAUUUCGAACCGCAUGGUUCGAUAGUGAAAGAUGGCUUUGCUAUCACUUAUAGAUGGACCUGCGCCGUAUUAGCUAGUUGGUAAGGUAACGGCUUACCAAGGCAACGAUACGUAGCCGACCUGAGAGGGUGAUCGGCCACACUGGAACUGAGACACGGUCCAGACUCCUACGGGAGGCAGCAGUAGGGAAUCUUCCGCAAUGGGCGAAAGCCUGACGGAGCAACGCCGCGUGAGUGAUGAAGGUCUUCGGAUCGUAAAACUCUGUUAUUAGGGAAGAACAAACGUGUAAGUAACUGUGCUCGUCUUGACGGUACCUAAUCAGAAAGCCACGGCUAACUACGUG